UAAUACGUAGGGUGCAAGCGUUGUCCGGAUUUAUUGGGCGUAAAGAGCUCGUAGGCGGUUUAGCAAGUCGGGUGUGAAAACUUCAGGCUCAACCUGGAGAUGCCACUCGAGACUGCUAUGACUUGAGUCUGGUAGGGGAGCACGGAAUUCCUGGUGUAGCGGUGAAAUGCGCAGAUAUCAGGAGGAACACCGGUGGCGAAGGCGGUGCUCUGGGCCAGUACUGACGCUGAGGAGCGAAAGCGUGGGUAGCAAACAGGAUUAGAUACCCUGGUAGUCCACGCCGUAAACGUUGGGUACUAGGUGUGGGGUCUUUCAACGGACUCCGUGCCGCAGCUAACGCAUUAAGUACCCCGCCUGGGGAGUACGGCCGCAAGGCUA
RNAcentral lists this ribosomal RNA (378 nucleotides) under uncultured bacterium. RNAcentral describes it as "bacterial SSU rRNA". It matches the Rfam family "Bacterial small subunit ribosomal RNA", at positions 521 to 896 of the family's 1533-position model. The record is from RNAcentral.